RNAcentral lists this ribosomal RNA (497 nucleotides) under uncultured bacterium. RNAcentral's name for it is "partial 16S ribosomal RNA". It matches the Rfam family "Bacterial small subunit ribosomal RNA", at positions 28 to 507 of the family's 1533-position model. The record is from RNAcentral.
GACGAACGCUGGCGGCGUGCCUAAUACAUGCAAGUUGAGCGCUGAAGGUUGGUACUUGUACCAACUGGAUGAGCAGCGAACGGGUGAGUAACGCGUGGGGAAUCUGCCUUUGAGCGGGGGACAACAUUUGGAAACGAAUGCUAAUACCGCAUAAAAACUUUAAACACAAGUUUUAAGUUUGAAAGUUGCUAUUGCAUCACUCAAAGAUGAUCCCGCGUUGUAUUAGCUAGUUGGGGAGGUAAAGGCUCACCAAGGCGAUGAUACAUAGCCGACCUGAGAGGGUGAUAGGCCACAUUGGGACUGGGACACGGCCCAACCCCCUACGGGAGGCAGCAGUAGGGAAUCUUCGGGGAUAGAAGAAAGUCUGAACGAUCAACGACGCGUGAGUGAAGAAGGUUUUCGGAUCGUAAAAAUCUGUUGGUAGAGAAGAACGUUGGUGAGAGUGGAAAGCGCAUCAAGUGACGGUAACUACCCAGAAAGGGACGGCUAACUACGUG